GAUGAACGCUGGCGGCGUGCUUAACACAUGCAAGUCGAACGGAAAUGCCGCAGCUUGCUUCGGUACUCGAGUGGCGAACGGGUGAGUAACACGUGGGUGAUCUGCCCUGUACUUCGGGAUAAGCUUGGGAAACUGGGUCUAAUACCGGAUAUGACGCUCUCUUGCAUGGGGUUGUGGAAAGCUUUUUCGGUAUGGGGUAAGCUCGCGGCCUAUCUGCGCUUUGUGGUGGUGAUGGCCUACCAAAACGUCGACGGGUAGCCGGCCUGAGAGAGUGUACGGCGACAUAGGGACAGAGAUACAGGGCAGACACCUACGCGAGGCAGCAGUGGGGAAUAUUGCGCAAUAGGGGCAAGCCUGAUGCAGAGACGCGGCGUGGGGGAUGACAGCGUUCGGGGUGUAUACUCCUCUCGCAGUAGACGAAGACUGAUAGCGACGGUAGGUUGAGAAGAAGCACCGGCUAACUACGUG
Molecule: ribosomal RNA, 468 nt
Filed under: uncultured bacterium
Lineage: Bacteria
Description: partial 16S ribosomal RNA
Rfam family: Bacterial small subunit ribosomal RNA
Source: RNAcentral